GACGAACGCUGGCGGCGUGCUUAACACAUGCAAGUCGAACGGAAAGGCCCUGCUUUUGUGGGGUGCUCGAGUGGCGAACGGGUGAGUAACACGUGAGUAACCUGCCCUUGACUUUGGGAUAACUUCAGGAAACUGGGGCUAAUACCGUAUAGGAGCUCCUGCUGCAUGGUGGGGGUUGGAAAUUUUCGGCGGUUGGGGAUGGACUCGCGGCUUAUCAGCUUGUUGGUGGGGUAGUGGCUUACCGAGGCUUUGACGGGUAGCCGGCCUGAGAGGGUGACCGGCCACAUUGGGACUGAGAUACGGCGCAGACUCCUACGGGAGGCAGCAGUGGGGAAUAUUGCACAAUGGGCGGAAGCCUGAUGCAGCGACGCCGCGUGCGGGAUGACGGCCUUCGGGUUGUAAACCGCUUUCGCCUGUGACGAAGCGUGAGUGACGGUAAUGGGUAAAGAAGCACCGGCUAACUACGUG
This 468-nucleotide ribosomal RNA is filed under the name uncultured bacterium. Its description in RNAcentral is "partial 16S ribosomal RNA". It matches the Rfam family "Bacterial small subunit ribosomal RNA", at positions 28 to 507 of the family's 1533-position model. The record is from RNAcentral.